GAUGAAGAACGCAGCGAAAUGCGAUAAGUAAUGCGAAUUGCAGAAUUUCCGUGAGUCAUCGAAUCUUUGAACGCACAUUGCGCCCACUGGUAUUCCGGUGGGCAUGCCUGUUCGAGCGUCAUUUAAACCUUCAAGCUCAGCUUGGUGUUGGGUGACUGUCCGCUUCACCGCGGACUCGCCUCAAAAUUAUUGGCGGCCGGUACAUUGGCUCUCGAGCGCAGCAGAAACGCGUAACUCGAGGUCCUCGUGCUGGCUCCCAGAAGCUAUCUUCACAAUUUUGACCUCGGAUCAGGUAGGGAUACCCGCUGAACUUAAGCAUAUCAAUAAGCGGAGGA
This 335-nucleotide unclassified non-coding RNA is filed under the name soil metagenome. RNAcentral's name for it is "partial contains 5.8S ribosomal RNA, internal transcribed spacer 2, and large subunit ribosomal RNA". The stretch from base 1 to 121 matches the Rfam family "5.8S ribosomal RNA", at positions 35 to 154 of the family's 154-position model. The record is from RNAcentral.